Molecule: ribosomal RNA, 253 nt
Filed under: uncultured bacterium
Lineage: Bacteria
Description: partial 16S ribosomal RNA
Rfam family: Bacterial small subunit ribosomal RNA
Source: RNAcentral
UACGAAGGGGGCUAGCGUUGUUCGGAUUUACUGGGCGUAAAGCGCACGUAGGCGGAUCGAUCAGUCAGGGGUGAAAUCCCAGAGCUCAACUCUGGAACUGCCUUUGAUACUGAGAAGCUUGAGUCCGGGAGAGGUGAGUGGAACUGCGAGUGUAGAGGUGAAAUUCGUAGAUAUUCGCAAGAACACCAGUGGCGAAGGCGGCUCACUGGCCCGGUACUGACGCUGAGGUGCGAAAGCGUGGGGAGCAAACAGG